This 321-nucleotide ribosomal RNA is filed under the name Triticum aestivum (bread wheat). RNAcentral describes it as "partial small subunit ribosomal RNA". Lineage: Eukaryota; Viridiplantae; Streptophyta; Magnoliopsida; Poales; Poaceae. The record is from RNAcentral.
CUUCUCGAUUCUACGAGAAUUUUUAUGAAAGCGUUUCAUUUGCUUCUCUUCAAUGGAAGUUUCAUUUUCCCAGAAUGUAUCCUAAUUUUUGGCCUAAUUCUUCUUCUGAUGAUCGAUUCAACCUCUGAUCAAAAAGAUAGACCUUGGUUCUAUUUCAUCUCUUCAACAAGUUUAGUAAUAAGCAUAACGGCCCUAUUGUUCCGAUGGAGAGAAGAACCUAUAAUUAGCUUUUCGGGAAAUUUCCAAACGAACAAUUUCAACGAAAUCUUUCAAUUUCUCAUUUUAUUAUGUUCAACUUUAUGUAGCUUGAGCCACAGAUAA